UACGAACGCUGGCGGCGUGCUUAACACAUGCAAGUGGAGCGACGAACCGGGGGCUUGCCCCGGGGCAGAGCCGCGAACGGGUGAGUAACACGUGGGUAACCCACCCCGAUGACCGGGACAACCCGAGGAAACUCGGGCUAAUACCGGAUGUGCUCCUUGACCUCGAGGUCAAGGCGUAAAGAUAGCUUCGGACCUUCGCAUCGGGACGGCCCGCGGCCCAUUAGCUUGUUGGUGGGGUAAAGGCCUACCAAGGCGACGA
RNAcentral lists this ribosomal RNA (259 nucleotides) under uncultured bacterium. RNAcentral describes it as "partial 16S ribosomal RNA". It matches the Rfam family "Bacterial small subunit ribosomal RNA", at positions 29 to 279 of the family's 1533-position model. The record is from RNAcentral.